GCCGGGAUAGCUCAGUUGGUUAGAGCAUGGUGCUGUUAACGCCAAGCUUGCAGGUUUGAUGUCCAUAAGGAGCAGCU
Molecule: transfer RNA, 77 nt
Filed under: Podarcis lilfordi (Lilford's wall lizard)
Lineage: Eukaryota; Metazoa; Chordata; Lepidosauria; Squamata; Lacertidae
Description: tRNA.Asn
Source: RNAcentral